Molecule: ribosomal RNA, 392 nt
Filed under: uncultured eukaryote
Lineage: Eukaryota
Description: partial 18S ribosomal RNA
Rfam family: Eukaryotic small subunit ribosomal RNA
Source: RNAcentral
CAAUAGCGUAUAUCUAAGUUGUUGCAGUUAAAAAGCUCGUAGUUGGAUGGAUGGUUUAAAAUAUAAUGUCAAUUCGAAAGGAUGUGUACAUGUGAUAUGUUUAGAUCAUAUAUUGUGAGAGAUUAUACCUGGCAUUAAGUUGUUGGAUAUAAAGUCUUGCAUCGUUUACUGUGAAAAAAUUAGAGUGUUUCAAGCAGGCGUUUAGCUUUUUGAAUACAUUAGCAUGGAAUAAUAAUAUAUGACUAGCGUGGUCUAUUUUGUUGGUUUGCACACGCAAGUAAUGAUUAAUAGGGACAGUUGGGGAUAUUCAUAUUUGAGCGUCAGAGGUGAAAUUCUUGGAUCGCUGAAAGAUGAGCUUAGGCGAAAGCAUUUAUCAUGGAUGUUUUCAUUAA